GAUGAACGCUGGCGGCGUGCCUAAUACAUGCAAGUCGAGCGAACAGACGAGGAGCUUGCUCCUCUGACGUUAGCGGCGGACGGGUGAGUAACACGUGGAUAACCUACCUAUAAGACUGGGAUAGCUUCGGGAAACCGGAGCUAAUACCGGAUAAUAUAUUGAACCGCAUGGUUCAAUAGUGAAAGACGGUUUUGCUGUCACUUAUAGAUGGAUCCGCGCCGCAUUAGCUAGUUGGUAAGGUAACGGCUUACCAAGGCAACGAUGCGUAGCCGACCUGAGAGGGUGAUCGGCCACACUGGAACUGAGACACGGUCCAGACUCCUACGGGAGGCAGCAGUAGGGAAUCUUCCGCAAUGGGCGAAAGCCUGACGGAGCAACGCCGCGUGAGUGAUGAAGGUCUUCGGAUCGUAAAACUCUGUUAUUAGGGAAGAACAAAUGUGUAAGUAACUAUGCACGUCUUGACGGUACCUAAUCAGAAAGCCACGGCUAACUACGUG
RNAcentral lists this ribosomal RNA (497 nucleotides) under uncultured bacterium. RNAcentral's name for it is "partial 16S ribosomal RNA". It matches the Rfam family "Bacterial small subunit ribosomal RNA", at positions 28 to 507 of the family's 1533-position model. The record is from RNAcentral.